Molecule: ribosomal RNA, 2623 nt
Filed under: Vreelandella olivaria
Lineage: Bacteria; Pseudomonadati; Pseudomonadota; Gammaproteobacteria; Oceanospirillales; Halomonadaceae
Description: bacterial LSU rRNA
Rfam family: Bacterial large subunit ribosomal RNA
Source: RNAcentral
CAAUGAAGCGCACACGGUGGAUGCCUAGGCAGCCAGAGGCGAUGAAAGACGUGGUAGCCUGCGAUAAGGUUCGGUGAGGUGGCAACAACCUGUGACCCGGACAUCUCUGAAUGGGGAAACCCACUCAUCAUAAGAUGAGUAUCGUGCAUUGAAUACAUAGAUGUACGAGGCGAACCAGGGGAACUGAAACAUCUAAGUACCCUGAGGAAAAGAAAUCAACCGAGAUUCCCCUAGUAGCGGCGAGCGAACGGGGACCAGCCCUUAAGCAUGAGACUGAUUAGGCGAACACGCUGGGAAGCGUGGCCGUAGCGGGUGAUAGCCCCGUAGUCGAAAAUCUGAUCAUGUGAAAUCGAGUAGGUCGGGGCACGAGAAACCUUGACUGAAGACGGGGGGACCAUCCUCCAAGGCUAAAUACUCCUGGCUGACCGAUAGUGAACCAGUACCGUGAGGGAAAGGCGAAAAGAACCCCGGAGAGGGGAGUGAAAUAGAUCCUGAAACCGUGUGCGUACAAGCAGUAGGAGCAGACUUGUUCUGUGACUGCGUACCUUUUGUAUAAUGGGUCAGCGACUUAUAUUCAGUGGCGAGGUUAACCGUAUAGGGGAGCCGUAGGGAAACCGAGUCUUAACUGGGCGACACAGUCGCUGGAUAUAGACCCGAAACCGAGCGAUCUAUCCAUGAGCAGGGUGAAGGUUGAGUAACAUCAACUGGAGGCCCGAACCAGGAUCUGUUGAAAAAGAUUUGGAUGACUUGUGGAUCGGAGUGAAAGGCUAAUCAAGCUCGGAGAUAGCUGGUUCUCCUCGAAAGCUAUUUAGGUAGCGCCUCACGUAGUACCGCCGGGGGUAGAGCACUGUUUCGGCUAGGGGGUCAUCCCGACUUACCAACCCGAGGCAAACUCCGAAUACCGGUGAGUAACGCGUGGGAGACACACGGCGGGUGCUAACGUCCGUCGUGAAAAGGGAAACAACCCAGACCGUCAGCUAAGGUCCCGAAAUCCUGGUUAAGUGGGAAACGAUGUGGGAAGGCUCAGACAGCUAGGAGGUUGGCUUAGAAGCAGCCAUCCUUUAAAGAAAGCGUAAUAGCUCACUAGUCGAGUCGGCCUGCGCGGAAGAUGUAACGGGGCUAAACCAGGUACCGAAGCUACGGGUUCAUAGCGGUAGAGGAGCGUCGUGUAAGCCGAUGAAGGUGGAUUGAGAAGUCUGCUGGAGGUAUCACGAGUGCGAAUGCUGACAUGAGUAACGAUAAAGGGAGUGAAAAACUCCCUCGCCGGAAGACCAAGGGUUUCUGUUCGACGCUAAUCGGAGCAGAGUGAGUCGGCCCCUAAGGCGAGGCCGAAAGGCGUAGUCGAUGGGAAACGGGUCAAUAUUCCCGUACCGGACAUGGUUGCGAUGGGGGGACGAAGAAGGCUAGGUGAGCCAGGCGUUGGUUGUCCUGGUGAAAGUGAGUAGGCUUGGAUCUUAGGUAGAUCCGGGAUCCUUUAAGGCCGAGACACGAGAUGAACUGACCACGGUCAGGAAGUCACUGAUGCCACGCUUCCAGGAAAAGCCUCUAAGCUUCAGAUCAUGUGCGACCGUACCCCAAACCGACACAGGUGGUCAGGGUGAGAAUCCCAAGGCGCUUGAGAGAACUCGGGUGAAGGAACUAGGCAAAAUGGUGCCGUAACUUCGGGAGAAGGCACGCCGGCGUAGGGUGAAGAGACUUGCUCUCCUAGCCCGAACCGGUCGAAGAUACCAGGUGGCUGCAACUGUUUAUUAAAAACACAGCACUCUGCUAACGCGCAAGCGGACGUAUAGGGUGUGACGCCUGCCCGGUGCCGGAAGGUUAAAUGAUGGUGUUAGCCGCAAGGCGAAGCUCUUGAUUGAAGCCCCGGUAAACGGCGGCCGUAACUAUAACGGUCCUAAGGUAGCGAAAUUCCUUGUCGGGUAAGUUCCGACCUGCACGAAUGGCGUAAUGAUGGCCACGCUGUCUCCACCCGAGACUCAGUGAAAUUGAAAUCGCCGUGAAGAUGCGGUGUACCCGCGGCUAGACGGAAAGACCCCGUGAACCUUUACUAUAGCUUCACACUGGACGCUGAUGUUGCCUGUGUAGGAUAGCUGGGAGGCUUAGAAACUCGGACGCCAGUUCGGGCGGAGCCAACCUUGAAAUACCAGCCUGGCAUCAUUGGCGUUCUCACUCAGGUCCGUUAUCCGGAUCGAGGACAGUGUGUGGUGGGUAGUUUGACUGGGGCGGUCUCCUCCUAAAGAGUAACGGAGGAGCACGAAGGUACCCUCAGCACGGUCGGACAUCGUGCAUUGAGUGCAAGAGCAUAAGGGUGCUUGACUGCGAGACAGACACGUCGAGCAGGUGCGAAAGCAGGUUCUAGUGAUCCGGUGGUUCUGUAUGGAAGGGCCAUCGCUCAACGGAUAAAAGGUACUCCGGGGAUAACAGGCUGAUACCGCCCAAGAGUUCACAUCGACGGCGGUGUUUGGCACCUCGAUGUCGGCUCAUCACAUCCUGGGGCUGAAGUCGGUCCCAAGGGUAUGGCUGUUCGCCAUUUAAAGUGGUACGCGAGCUGGGUUUAGAACGUCGUGAGACAGUUCGGUCCCUAUCUGCCGUGGGCGUUGGAUGUUUGAGAAGGGCUGCUCCU